AGUGCACACGGUGGAUGCCUUGGCAGUUAGAGGCGAUGAAAGACGUAGGAGCCUGCGAUAAGGCGAGGGGAGCCGGCAAACAUGCUUUGAUCCUCGCAUUUCUGAAUGGGGAAACCCACCCAAUUUAUUGGGUAUCGUAUACUGAAUACAUAGGUAUACGAGGCGAACCCGGGGAACUGAAACAUCUAAGUACCCGGAGGAAAAGAAAUCAACCGAGAUUCCCCUAGUAGCGGCGAGCGAAAGGGGAUUAGCCGAGCGAUCGGCGCUAGUGGAAGCCUCUGGAAAGUGGCGCGAUAGAGGGUGAUAGCCCCGUACACGAAAGCAAAGAUCGACGUAUUAAGUAGGACGGGACACGUGUUAUCUUGUCUGAAGAUGGGGGGACCAUCCUCCAAGGCUAAAUACUCCUAACUGACCGAUAGUGAACCAGUACCGUGAGGGAAAGGCGAAAAGAACCCCUGUGAGGGGAGUGAAAUAGAUCCUGAAACCGUGUGCAUACAAGCAGUAGGAGCAGACUUGUUCUGUGACUGCGUACCUUUUGUAUAAUGGGUCAGCGACUUAUUGUCUGUAGCAAGGUUAACCGAUUAGGGGAGCCGUAGGGAAACCGAGUCUUAAUAGGGCGCGAGUUGCAGGCAUUAGACCCGAAACCCGGCGAUCUAUCCAUGGCCAGGUUGAAGAUUGAGUAACAUCAAUUGGAGGACCGAACCCACUUAUGUUGAAAAAUGAGGGGAUGAGCUGUGGAUCGGAGUGAAAGGCUAAUCAAGCCGGGAGAUAGCUGGUUCUCCCCGAAAACUAUUUAGGUAGUGCGUCGUAUCUUACCCUCGGGGGUAGAGCACUGUUUGGGCUAGGGGGUCAUCCCGACUUACCAACCCCAUGCAAACUCCGAAUACCGAGGAGUACAAUUACGGCAGACAGACAGCGGGUGCUAACGUCCGUUGUCAAGAGGGAAACAACCCAGACCGCCAGCUAAGGUCCCAAAUGCUAGUUAAGUGGGAAACGAUGUGGGAAGGCUCAGACAGCUAGGAGAUUGGCUUAGAAGCAGCCAUUCUUUAAAGAAAGCGUAAUAGCUCACUAGUCGAGUCGGCCUGCGCGGAAGAUUUAACGGGGCUAAAUUAGCAACCGAAGCUGCGGAUGCUUUCGAGCAUGGUAGGGGAGCGUUCUGUAAGCCGUUGAAGGUGAAUUGAGAAGUUUGCUGGAGGUAUCAGAAGUGCGAAUGCUGACAUAAGUAACGACAAGGGGAGUGAAAAACUCCCCCGCCGGAAGAUCAAGGUUUCCUGUCCAACGUUAAUCGGGACAGGGUUAGUCGACCCCUAAGGCGAGGCUGAGAAGCGUAGUCGAUGGGAAACAGGUUAACAUUCCUGUACUUUUUAUUACUGCGAUGGAGGGACGGAGUAGGCUAGGUUAUCACGGCGUUGGUUGUCCGUGUUCAAGGCUGUAGGCAAGCGACUUAGGUAAAUCCGGGUUGCUCUCUUUAAUGAGAAUGCUGAGAGUUGAUGACGAGUCUCGCAAGAGGCGAAGUAAUUGAUGCCAUGCUUCCAAGAAAAGCUUCUAAGCUUCAGGUAAUAGAGAAUCGUACUGUAAACCGACACAGGUGAUCAGGUAGAGAAUACCCAGGCGCUUGAGAGAACUCGGGUGAAGGAACUAGGCAAAAUGGCACCGUAACUUCGGGAGAAGGUGCGCCGGUGUUGGUGAUAGGACUUGCUCCUUGAGCUGACGCUGGUCGAAGAUACCAGGCCGCUGCGACUGUUUAUUAAAAACACAGCACUCUGCAAACACGAAAGUGGACGUAUAGGGUGUGACGCCUGCCCGGUGCCGGAAGGUUAAUUGAUGGGGUUAGCUUCGGCGAAGCUCUUGAUCGAAGCCCCGGUAAACGGCGGCCGUAACUAUAACGGUCCUAAGGUAGCGAAAUUCCUUGUCGGGUAAGUUCCGACCUGCACGAAUGGCGUAACGAUGGCGGCACUGUCUCCACCCGAGACUCAGUGAAAUUGAAAUUGCGGUUAAGAUGCCGUAUACCCGCGGCUAGACGGAAAGACCCCGUGAACCUUUACUAUAGCUUGGCACUGAACUCUGAAUUUAUUUGUGUAGGAUAGCUGGGAGGCUUUGAAGCGAUGUCGCUAGAUGUUGUGGAGCCAACCUUGAAAUACCAGCCUGAUAACUUUGG
RNAcentral lists this ribosomal RNA (2158 nucleotides) under marine metagenome. RNAcentral describes it as "bacterial LSU rRNA". It matches the Rfam family "Bacterial large subunit ribosomal RNA", at positions 14 to 2217 of the family's 2925-position model. The record is from RNAcentral.